Amblyraja radiata (thorny skate) is the source of this 560-nucleotide long non-coding RNA. RefSeq lists it as uncharacterized. The transcript is spliced from 3 exons. The record is from RefSeq and is a predicted model, not a curated record. NCBI's taxonomy places the organism in Eukaryota, Metazoa, Chordata, Chondrichthyes, Rajiformes, Rajidae.
CACUUCCCGAAGGUGUUUUAUUGCUUCAGUGUGUUGUGGGUAGAUUGGAGUAAAGGGCACGGUGUAAAGCAUAUUGCUCCUUUCAUUCUCUCCAAUGCUUCUUAUCAGCUGCACUCCAACCUCUCAAAACCUAAUAAUGUUUGACUGGUCUCGUGUCACAAAACGAGUAAGCUUAUGCCCAUUAAUUGAAAUAUUUUAGUGCGCAAUUAUUAUUGCCAAAUACGUAUUUUAGUUGGCUCUACCUUGCCUUCACUUUUCGAGAAUUUGUUAAUUAUACCAUUUCAGAUAAUGCAGAUUUAAGGCACUUUUGAAAAUGCUGCCGCGACAAGCACAAGGCCCCCCAGCGAGAAGUCUAACAUUUUCUAUAAGGCUAGCUCGGCAAGGAGCACACUGGGAUCAUGGUGAUGGGAGAUUACGAGGAAGGUUAGUGCAAGAAGUUUUAACUGUCAAAACGAUAAUACAAAUAACCUCACAUGAUUAUCGUACCCCAUAAUAAACCACAACAGUAUGAUCGAUGAUUACUGUGAACUUUCAGCAAGUUGUCAUCUAGUUUUUGCAAG